AACGAACGCUGGCGGCAUGCCUAACACAUGCAAGUCGAACGAGACCUUCGGGUCUAGUGGCGCACGGGUGCGUAACGCGUGGGAACCUGCCCUUAGGUUCGGAAUAACUCCCCGAAAGGGGUGCUAAUACCGGAUAAUGUCUUCGGACCAAAGAUUUAUCGCGUUUGGAUGGGCGGGCGUUGGAUUAGCUAGUUGGUAGGGUAAAAGCAUACCAAGGCGACGAUCCAUAGCUGGUCUGAGAGGAUGGUCAGCCACACUGGGAGGAAGACGCAGCCGAGAAUCCUACGGGAGGCGGCAGUGGGGGAUAGUGGAACGCGGGCGGAAGCCUGAUGCAGCAAGGCCGCGUGAGUGAUGAAGGCCUUAGGGUUGUAAAGCGCUUUUACCCGGGAUGAUAAUGACAGUACCGGGAGAAUAAGCUCCGGCUAACUCCGUG
Molecule: ribosomal RNA, 433 nt
Filed under: uncultured bacterium
Lineage: Bacteria
Description: partial 16S ribosomal RNA
Rfam family: Bacterial small subunit ribosomal RNA
Source: RNAcentral